RNAcentral lists this ribosomal RNA (253 nucleotides) under uncultured bacterium. RNAcentral's name for it is "partial 16S ribosomal RNA". It matches the Rfam family "Bacterial small subunit ribosomal RNA", at positions 524 to 776 of the family's 1533-position model. The record is from RNAcentral.
UACAGAGGGGGCAAGCGUUAUUCGGAAUUACUGGGCGUAAAGCGUGCGCAGGCGGUGAUGUAAGACAGAUGUGAAAUCCCCGGGCUUAACCUGGGAACUGCAUUUGUGACUGCAUCGCUGGAGUGCGGCAGAGGGGGAUGGAAUUCCGCGUGUAGCAGUGAAAUGCGUAGAUAUGCGGAGGAACACCGAUGGCGAAGGCAAUCCCCUGGGCCUGCACUGACGCUCAUGCACGAAAGCGUGGGGAGCAAACAGG